This 405-nucleotide unclassified non-coding RNA is filed under the name soil metagenome. Its description in RNAcentral is "partial contains 5.8S ribosomal RNA, internal transcribed spacer 2, and large subunit ribosomal RNA". The stretch from base 1 to 121 matches the Rfam family "5.8S ribosomal RNA", at positions 35 to 154 of the family's 154-position model. The record is from RNAcentral.
GAUGAAGAACGUAGCGAAAUGCGAUAAGUAAUGUGAAUUGCAGAAUUCAGUGAAUCAUCGAAUCUUUGAACGCACCUUGCGCCCUUUGGCCAUUCCGAAGGGCAUGCCUGUUUGAGUAUCAUGAACACCUCAACUCUUUAUGGUUUUCCAUGAUGAGCUUGGACUCUGGGGGUUUUGCUGGCUCACAGUCUGCUCCUCUAAAAUGAAUCAGCUUACCAGUGUUUGGUGGGUAUCAUGGGUGUGAUAACUAUCUACGCUUGUGGUUUUUCCACCAGGUAACCUUCAGCAGUGGAGGUUCGCUGGAGCUCAUAGAUGUCUCUCCUCAGUGAGGACAGCCCUUUGAAUGUUUGAUCUCAAAUCAGGUAGGACUACCCGCUGAACUUAAGCAUAUCAAUAAGCGGAGGA